RNAcentral lists this ribosomal RNA (465 nucleotides) under uncultured bacterium. RNAcentral describes it as "partial 16S ribosomal RNA". It matches the Rfam family "Bacterial small subunit ribosomal RNA", at positions 28 to 507 of the family's 1533-position model. The record is from RNAcentral.
GACGAACGCUGGCGGCGUGCUUAACACAUGCAAGUCGAACGGAAAGGCCCUGCUUGCAGGGUACUCGAGUGGCGAACGGGUGAGUAACACGUGGGUGAUCUGCCCUGCACUUCGGGAUAAGCCUGGGAAACUGGGUCUAAUACCGGAUAGGAGCCAUUUUUAGUGUGAUGGUUGGAAAGUUUUUUCGGUGUAGUAUGAGCUCGCGGCCUAUCAGCUUGUUGGUGGGGUAAUGGCCUACCAAGGCGGCGACGGGUAGCCGGCCUGAGAGGGUGGACGGCCACAUUGGGACUGAGAUACGGCCCAGACUCCUACGGGAGGCAGCAGUGGGGAAUAUUGCACAAUGGGCGCAAGCCUGAUGCAGCGACGCCGCGUGGGGGAUGACGGCCUUCGGGUUGUAAACUCCUUUCGCUAGGGACGAAGCUUUUUGCGACGGUACCUAGAUAAGAAGCACCGGCUAACUACGUG